This 254-nucleotide ribosomal RNA is filed under the name uncultured bacterium. Its description in RNAcentral is "partial 16S ribosomal RNA". It matches the Rfam family "Bacterial small subunit ribosomal RNA", at positions 524 to 776 of the family's 1533-position model. The record is from RNAcentral.
UACGGGGGGGGCAAGCGUUGUUCGGAAUUACUGGGCGUAAAGGGCUCGUAGGCGGCCAACUAAGUCGGACGUGAAAGCCCUCGGCUUAACCGAGGAACUGCGUCCGAUACUGGAUGGCUUGAGGUUGGGAGAGGGAUGCGGAAUUCCAGGUGUAGCGGUGAAAUGCGUAGAUAUCUGGAGGAACACCGGUGGCGAAGGCGGCAUCCUGGACCAAUUCUGACGCUGAGUGAGCGAAAGCGUGGGGAGCAAACAGG